AGUGAACGCUGGCGGUAGGCCUAACACAUGCAAGUCGAACGGCAGCACAGUAAGAGCUUGCUCUUACGGGUGGCGAGUGGCGGACGGGUGAGGAAUACAUCGGAAUCUACUUUUUCGUGGGGGAUAACGUAGGGAAACUUACGCUAAUACCGCAUACGACCUACGGGUGAAAGCAGGGGAUCUUCGGACCUUGCGCGAUUGAAUGGGCCGAUGUCGGAUUAGCUAGUUGGCGGGGUAAAGGCCCACCAAGGCGACGAUCCGUAGCUGGUCUGAGAGGAUGAUCAGCCACACUGGAACUGAGACACGGUCCAGACUCCUACGGGAGGCAGCAGUGGGGAAUAUUGGACAAUGGGCGCAAGCCUGAUCCAGCCAUACCGCGUGGGUGAAGAAGGUCUUCGGGUUGUAAAGCCCUUUUGUUGGGAAAGAAAAGCAGCAGGUUAAUACCCCGCUGUUCUGACGGUACCCAAAGAAUAAGCACCGGCUAACUUCGUG
This 492-nucleotide ribosomal RNA is filed under the name uncultured bacterium. RNAcentral describes it as "partial 16S ribosomal RNA". It matches the Rfam family "Bacterial small subunit ribosomal RNA", at positions 29 to 507 of the family's 1533-position model. The record is from RNAcentral.